CCCACAGCGACUGCUGUGGAGUCUUCCUCACCGCAGAACAGAUAACUUUUCUCAAGGACAUGGCCGAUACCAUUCUAGAGACAAAGAUGAGAAAUCAGUUCAGAGCAUUGAGUGGAUACCUUAGUAUGGGCAUAAGUCACCAAGGGCUGCCCUAGGGCACUCUGGAGUCUGACUCAGUGCCUUGUACAUUGAAGAAAUCAAUGCUCUGAGAGCCUGUGACCAUCUGCACUUCAAGUACAAUUCUGAUUCUAGAAAUAAUCGCUCCAGGUCUGAACUCUACUGUGUUGGGGACGUUUUUUUGUUAGGGAGGACCGGACAGAGGGAAGGAGAGAAAGAAGAGAUGAGAUUGCCGCAGGAAGUGGCGGCGAGGAGGACUGGACUCCAGGAGAGGGCAGAAUGAAGGCAGUGCCCAUCUUACCUGCCUCCGAGGCCCUGUGGAAAGCAGAUGCAAAUUAGCUCGUUAUGGACAUGUUAGAAGGAUGAAAUGUUUUACAGGCCAAAAAUAAGAAAUGAUACUCAAUUUCUAGAAUAAGCAGAAUAUAGUCCAAACAUUAAACUUCUUAAAGACUAGGAACUGUCUUGAUUUUGACAAAUACACAUUUUAAUGGUUCUGGUUUUUAAAAGGAAGGACCACUAUGACAUUGUAUUU
This is a long non-coding RNA of Mastomys coucha (southern multimammate mouse), 649 nucleotides long. RefSeq lists it as uncharacterized. The record is from RefSeq and is a predicted model, not a curated record. NCBI's taxonomy places the organism in Eukaryota, Metazoa, Chordata, Mammalia, Rodentia, Muridae. The transcript is spliced from 3 exons.